RNAcentral lists this ribosomal RNA (661 nucleotides) under bacterium LB-10. RNAcentral's name for it is "bacterial SSU rRNA". It matches the Rfam family "Bacterial small subunit ribosomal RNA", at positions 782 to 1443 of the family's 1533-position model. The record is from RNAcentral.
GUACCCUGGUAGUCCACGCUGUAAACGAUGUCGACUUGGAGGUUGUGCCCUUGAGGCGUGGCUUCCGGAGCUAACGCGUUAAGUCGACCGCCUGGGGAGUACGGCCGCAAGGUUAAAACUCAAAUGAAUUGACGGGGGCCCGCACAAGCGGUGGAGCAUGUGGUUUAAUUCGAUGCAACGCGAAGAACCUUACCUACUCUUGACAUCCAGAGAACUUUCCAGAGAUGGAUUGGUGCCUUCGGGAACUCUGAGACAGGUGCUGCAUGGCUGUCGUCAGCUCGUGUUGUGAAAUGUUGGGUUAAGUCCCGCAACGAGCGCAACCCUUAUCCUUUGUUGCCAGCGGUUCGGCCGGGAACUCAAAGGAGACUGCCAGUGAUAAACUGGAGGAAGGUGGGGAUGACGUCAAGUCAUCAUGGCCCUUACGAGUAGGGCUACACACGUGCUACAAUGGCAUAUACAAAGAGAAGCGACCUCGCGAGAGCAAGCGGACCUCAUAAAGUAUGUCGUAGUCCGGAUUGGAGUCUGCAACUCGACUCCAUGAAGUCGGAAUCGCUAGUAAUCGUGGAUCAGAAUGCCACGGUGAAUACGUUCCCGGGCCUUGUACACACCGCCCGUCACACCAUGGGAGUGGGUUGCAAAAGAAGUAGGUAGCUUAACCUUC